This 253-nucleotide ribosomal RNA is filed under the name uncultured bacterium. Its description in RNAcentral is "partial 16S ribosomal RNA". It matches the Rfam family "Bacterial small subunit ribosomal RNA", at positions 524 to 776 of the family's 1533-position model. The record is from RNAcentral.
UACGUAGGGUGCGAGCGUUAUUCGGAAUUACUGGGCGUAAAGCGUACGCAGGCGGUUCGCCAAGUCAGGUGUGAAAUCCCCGGGCUUAACCUGGGAAUUGCGCUUGAAACUAGCGGGCUUGAGUGUGGCAGAGGGGGGUGGAAUUCCACGUGUAGCAGUGAAAUGCGUAGAGAUGUGGAGGAACACCGAUGGCGAAGGCAGCCCCCUGGGUCAACACUGACGCUCAUGCACGAAAGCGUGGGGAGCGAACAGG